UAAGAAUAACUACUUUAGUAGAAGUUGUUAUUUCUAAAUUUCUCAAUCAUUCUCAAGCCUUCACCUUCACUCCAAGUCAUAUCUAAGUAAGAGGUGUAUCAAAGAAAAUUAAAAAAUGAUGAAAUAGAACUAUCAAAAUUAAGAUAAAGAUGUUGCUGAUAUAAAAAUCUACAAUGCCUACUUUAUAAAUAAACUAGUGAUUUUACUCUUUAAUCACUCUCAACUUCACUUAUAAGACUUUUCACAAGUCUUAUAUUCUAUCUAAAACUCAUGUGUAAG
RNAcentral lists this long non-coding RNA (279 nucleotides) under Physcomitrium patens. RNAcentral describes it as "long non-coding RNA (PPAT_LNC002921)". The record is from RNAcentral. Lineage: Eukaryota; Viridiplantae; Streptophyta; Bryopsida; Funariales; Funariaceae.